GACGAACGCUGGCGGCGUGCUUAACACAUGCAAGUCGAACGGAAAGGCCCGGUUUUUGUGGGGUGCUCGAGUGGCGAACGGGUGAGUAACACGUGAGUAACCUGCCCUUGACUUUGGGAGAACUUCAGGAAACUGGGGCGAAUACCGGAUAUGAGCACCUGCUGCAUGGUGGGGGUGGGAAAGUUGCGCCGGUUGGGGAUGGACUCGCGGCUCAUCAGCGUGUUGGUGAGGUGGUGGGUUACCAAGGCUUGGACGGGUAGCCGGACUGAGACGGUGACCGGCCACAAUGGGACAGAGAUACGGCCCAGACUGCUACGUGAGGCAGCAGUGGGAGAUAGUGCACAAUGGGCGGAAGCCGGAUGCAGCAACGCCGCGUGCGGGAUGACGGCCUUCGGGUUGUAAACCGCGUGCGCCUGUAACGAAGCGUGAGUGACGGUAAUGGGUAAAGAAGCACCGGCUAACUACGUG
RNAcentral lists this ribosomal RNA (468 nucleotides) under uncultured bacterium. RNAcentral describes it as "partial 16S ribosomal RNA". It matches the Rfam family "Bacterial small subunit ribosomal RNA", at positions 28 to 507 of the family's 1533-position model. The record is from RNAcentral.